RNAcentral lists this ribosomal RNA (705 nucleotides) under Ochrolechia antarctica. RNAcentral's name for it is "SSU rRNA". It matches the Rfam family "Bacterial small subunit ribosomal RNA", at positions 377 to 1171 of the family's 1533-position model. The record is from RNAcentral. Lineage: Eukaryota; Fungi; Ascomycota; Lecanoromycetes; Pertusariales; Ochrolechiaceae.
GAAAGCUAGUUGUAUUAACUAACUGUUAGUGCAAAAACGACUAUGUCGUGUAAAGUUCAGGGUAGAGUUUUGAUAAUGACAUUGUCUACCUGUAAGUCUCGACCAAACUACGUGCCAGCAGUCGCGGCAAUACGUUGGAGACUAGUGUUAUUCGUCUUUAGUAGGUUUAAAGGGUACCUAGACGGUUGUUUCAGCCCCUAAGGGUACUGAUUGUACUAGAGUUUUAUGAGAGGGGGGGUGUACUAAUGGUGUAAAGAUGAAAUUUUGUGAUACCAUUAUGAACAGGCAACAGCGAAGGCAACCCUUUAUGUUAAAACUGACGUUGAAGGACGAAGGCUUGGUACACCAACAGGAUUAGAUACCCUAGCAGUCCAAGCAGACAAUGAUGAAUGUCAUAGAUUGGAAAAUUAAUUUUGUCUAUAAAUGAAAGUGUAAGCAUUCCACCUUAAGAGUAAUGCGGCAACGCAUAAAUUGAAAUCAUUAGACCGUUUCUGAAACCAGUAGUGAAGUAUGUUGUAUAACUAGACAGUCCGCACAACACCUUACCACAAUUUGUAUGUUUAGAGAUAAACACGAGAGUUGCACGGCUGUCUUCAGUUAAUGUCGUGAGAUCUUGGUUAGUUCCAUUUAAUUAACGUAAACCCUUACUUUAUUUUAGUAAAUAGAGUAGUUCCCCACUAUAUUGGAUCUGAUAAAAGGGACUAA